Molecule: ribosomal RNA, 580 nt
Filed under: uncultured bacterium
Lineage: Bacteria
Description: bacterial SSU rRNA
Rfam family: Bacterial small subunit ribosomal RNA
Source: RNAcentral
GGACCCGCACAAGCGGUGGAUGAUGUGGAUUAAUUCGAUGCAACGCGAAAAACCUUACCUACCCUUGACAUGUCCGGAAUCCUGCAGAGAUGCGGGAGUGCUCGAAAGAGAACCGGAACACAGGUGCUGCAUGGCUGUCGUCAGCUCGUGUCGUGAGAUGUUGGGUUAAGUCCCGCAACGAGCGCAACCCUUAUCAUUAGUUGCUACGCAAGGGCACUCUAAUGAGACUGCCGGUGACAAACCGGAGGAAGGUGGGGAUGACGUCAAGUCCUCAUGGCCCUUAUGGGUAGGGCUUCACACGUCAUACAAUGGUCGGUACAGAGGGUUGCCAAGCCGCGAGGUGGAGCCAAUCCCAGAAAGCCGAUCGUAGUCCGGAUUGUUCUCUGCAACUCGAGAGCAUGAAGUCGGAAUCGCUAGUAAUCGCGGAUCAGCAUGUCGCGGUGAAUACGUUCCCGGGUCUUGUACACACCGCCCGUCACACCAUGGGAGUGGAAUCUGGCAGAAGUAGGUAGCCUAACCGCAAGGAGGGCGCUUACCACGCUGGGUUUCAUGACUGGGGUGAAGUCGUAACAAGGUAACC